Doryrhamphus excisus (bluestripe pipefish) is the source of this 2702-nucleotide long non-coding RNA. RefSeq lists it as uncharacterized. Lineage: Eukaryota; Metazoa; Chordata; Actinopteri; Syngnathiformes; Syngnathidae. The record is from RefSeq and is a predicted model, not a curated record.
ACCUUAACUGUCCUGGGUAGAGAGUCUGUGUUGUGUCGGUGCUUCUGUUGGUCGUUGCUGGACCUCAGUGAACGUCGGCACCACAGAGAACUUUUCUUCCUGGGAGCAGGCUCCGGAGGAUUCCUCUCCAGGCUGGACUUUGAUGGACGUCCACUUGUGUUCAUAGUGGUGGUGGAGGUGGUGCUGGUGGUGGACUACCAACGGCGACUAGCUAAACAGCGACCAGCCUCAAAGCAUCAUUCCCCCGCUGUGCCACAUAAUCUGACGGCCUCUUGGAAGCGUGCGCGUGUGCGUUGCAACUGAAAGAGAAACGCUUCAAAGCAGGAAAUCGGGCGUCACGUGACGUUUGUGGCGCUCGUGCACCUGCACAUCACAACCUCAUUUCCCGAAAGUAUUCUUCUCUUUAGCGUUUAAUUUCAAACUAUAAGCCAAAGACGUACCACUUCCACACAAAAUGGGAGAAUAAAGGCCGCCUUCUUGACUUCAUGCAGCGUUUAAGCUGCACUCACCUUGGGUACCAAUGAUUUCCAUGUGGAGGUGAGCCAGACCGCUGGCUAUGGACAAAGCGAGAACCAUCAUGCUUUCCACUGACACGGUGUGUCUGUUCAGAAGUCGGUGAAGCAGCAGUUCCUCUUGGAGACGUUGGGGGAGCUGUAGCAGAACACCUGGCCUCUCAUCUCCAGGGGCGACAGGCACAACUGCAUCGUCUCCUCUCGGCCGUCAAUCAACAUGACAGAGUUCCAGCAGGCGCCGUCUGCGGACGUCUCGCAAACGUGGUCGUCGCACAGCUGGCACACACAUUUUAAACCUGGAACAGUCCAUCAAAACAGAGCAUUGUUCUCUUUUUCUUACACAGAUCCUGCAUUGGGAAGUACACUUGUUGACCACCUUCAUUGUUAUCGUGGUAUUUAACCGCUUGGAAGCAGACCUGUUAUAUAAGAGCGGCCAUAUUAAGUGGUGUGGACGAACGAGAGUAAUGCCUCUUAGUUUAACACCCACAUAAUCUUAUGUUCUUCUCAGAGCUGCUGUCAUGCUUUGUUUGACAAGCACCUCCCUGAUUGACGAGCAGGACGCCACUACCUGAUAAGAACGAUGUUACUUCAUUCAAUCGCUUCAUAAAAAUCAUUCCAUAAAAUUCCAUUAACCAUUCCAUAAAAGGAAGGAAAUUUAUACGGUGAUAUUUCCUGGUUCUAGUCGGGACUCGAGCAGCAGUAUUCGUUCAGAGCCUGGGGAAAGUCUGCAUAGCAGAAACAUGUGUGGUUCUCAAACCAGAGGAAAACGUGCACAUGGUUGACUGUACUUGUAUUAAUCAGAGAGUAUAACGACUUUUAUGAUACUAAAGCUCCAUUUUUGGUUGGUUUUACAAAGUAAUUAAUUGCUCAAUUUAAUGGACAACAAAGAGACACGAUCCAUACAGUAAAUGGCUGUAACAAGAGAAGACCGACUAGACCUGACAAGCUUCAUGUAAAUUGCUUGUGUCAGUUGUAAAUCGCAAUAAAAAGUGUGAAAUAAAAGUCCAGAAAAUCUGCUGAAGUUGACUUUCUAAAGCAUCCUUGACAAUCUUCUCAGGCUUUUCAAGUGCAGCCUGGCUUUAGUCCUAAAGAACUUGACGGUAAACACUUCAGCGACAUAUUCCUUAUUGCUUAUAGAAAAGCUGUAUACAUAAAUAUUGUUGUAUUGUCGAAUGGAGUGGCAGCUGGAUUACCCCGCAUGCUUUGCGGGCAUUUUGGAAAUACCGUUCCAAGUUUAUGUGUUUGUUUUUAAGCGCAUUGUUGUAGUUCAUUAUUAUUAUUGUCCAUGAGCGAGACUGUUGUUCUGUUUGAUGAAACUCUCUUUUUGCACUGUGAAGCUAGUUCUUAGCUAGCGCUUUCUCCAAAAAAGGAGUCUAUUUGUGACAGUUGAUUAGCAUAAUCAAUAAACACACUACAGCAUAAGACGUGCGUGUAAUGUGGAACUCAGUCACAAUCACAUUGUUCAUGAGUGUAGACCGUCAACGUCAAGCUAGCAGGAGGGUUCGGGAGUGGGGCCAAAAUAGACACGUUUUACACCCGGGUUUUUCUACAUUUGCUCAUGGCCCCCCAGAAGGUAACCCACACAAAAAAAUGAGGAUCUGCUGUCGUCAGUGUGUAUGUGUGUGUGUGUGUGUGUAGACAGUGGAAGCGGAUACCAAGAUAGCAUAGCAACAAGGUGACCUUGACAACUUUGAGCAUGUUUCAGAAAGGAACUCCGGCUAGAUUGAUAUUUCUUUCAUUGACUAAACUAAACUAUUCAAAAAUGAUGUAUCUUGUAUUGCUCAUCCUCCUGGGGUUGCCAGGCAACAACUUGGGACAAAAGCAAAGUUGACAAUUAGAAAGCAUGAGAGGAAAUGUACAGCUAAUAUGUUUUUUUUAUGAAGGGCAGAAGUAUGAAAUAUACACUCAUCAAUAUUUUUAAGACCAUUUUUAGACUAUAGCCUUUAAAAGACAAAAAUGCAGUGUCAGCGUCGUUUUCUGUCGGUUGUAUGCAGUCAUCUUAAACCUGAGUGUUAUGAAACGAAAAGUCACAUGACCGACACAACCAAAUGUCAGGACGAUCCCCAAUUAUGGCUGCUCCCACCAAGGAGAUGCUACCUGAGAUGUUUUCCACACGGCACAGUGGAGAGGCUGCCAUCAUGAUCUGGGCUACUUUUGCCUUCCAUUGGAACAAUGGAGAUUCAGAUUGUG